UUUGAUCAUGGCUCAGGACGAACGCUGGCGGCGUGCCUAAUACAUGCAAGUCGAGCGCAGGAAAUAAACAGACACCUUCGGGAUAAUGUUUAUGGAAUGAGCGGCGGACGGGUGAGUAACACGUGGGCAACCUGCCUGUAAGAUCGGGAUAACUCGCGGAAACGUGAGCUAAUACCGGAUAACACUUUUCAUCUCAUGGUGAGAAGAUAAAAGACGGUUUCGGCUGUCACUUACAGAUGGGCCCGCGGCGCAUUAGCUAGUUGGUGAGGUAACGGCUCACCAAGGCGACGAUGCGUAGCCGACCUGAGAGGGUGAUCGGCCACACUGGGACUGAGACACGGCCCAGACUCCUACGGGAGGCAGCAGUAGGGAAUCUUCCGCAAUGGACGAAAGUCUGACGGAGCAACGCCGCGUGAGUGAUGAAGGUUUUCGGAUCGUAAAACUCUGUUGUUAGGGAAGAACAAGUUGGGUAGUAACUGACCCAACCUUGACGGUACCUAACCAGAAAGCCACGGCUAACUACGUGCCAGCAGCCGCGGUAAUACGUAGGUGGCAAGCGUUGUCCGGAAUUAUUGGGCGUAAAGCGCUCGCAGGCGGUCUUUUAAGUCUGAUGUGAAAGCCCACGGCUUAACCGUGGAGGGUCAUUGGAAACUGGAGGACUUGAGUACAGAAGAGGAGAGUGGAAUUCCACGUGUAGCGGUGAAAUGCGUAGAGAUGUGGAGGAACACCAGUGGCGAAGGCGACUCUCUGGUCUGU
This 756-nucleotide ribosomal RNA is filed under the name uncultured bacterium. Its description in RNAcentral is "bacterial SSU rRNA". It matches the Rfam family "Bacterial small subunit ribosomal RNA", at positions 12 to 737 of the family's 1533-position model. The record is from RNAcentral.